GAAAUUGUCGUCUUCCGCGGCCAGCAGGGCGCGGAUGAAGUCCGGCGGAAUGUCGGCGAAACGCACCGGAGAGCGGCGCAUCUCGCCGAACUCCGCGAUUAGCUUGCCGUCGCUGCUGUACACGCGCAGCGGGAUCUGUAGCUGGAUUCGGCGCAGCGAAUCAACAGACGGCAGGCUGGGGCUAAGAUAGAGGUAAGCGCCGCUGAAACUGAGCAAUAGGCCACAGAAAACGGCAACGAAGGACCACCAGAAAAACUUCAGCAGGCGAAUCAAGGCGUGUGGAUUUCCAGGCAA
RNAcentral lists this antisense RNA (294 nucleotides) under Metapseudomonas resinovorans NBRC 106553. Its description in RNAcentral is "Pseudomonas resinovorans NBRC 106553 anti ponA RNA". It matches the Rfam family "anti ponA RNA". Rfam says of the family: Transcribed antisense to the penicillin-binding protein 1A gene called ponA. It was identified by RNAseq and the expression was validated by 5' and 3' RACE experiments. Lineage: Bacteria; Pseudomonadati; Pseudomonadota; Gammaproteobacteria; Pseudomonadales; Pseudomonadaceae. The record is from Rfam by way of RNAcentral.